CAACCCUCAAGCUCUGCUUGGUAUUAGGCCUCACCUGCUAAGGUGGGUCGUAAAAUCAGUGGCGGUGCCAUUUGGCUUCAAGCGUAGUAACUAUCUUUCGCUUUGGAAUUCCAAUUGUGUAACCUGCCAAUAACCCCAAAUUUAUCAAA
Molecule: unclassified non-coding RNA, 149 nt
Filed under: uncultured Leotiomycetes
Lineage: Eukaryota; Fungi; Ascomycota; Leotiomycetes
Description: sequence contains ITS2
Source: RNAcentral